Molecule: ribosomal RNA, 299 nt
Filed under: uncultured bacterium
Lineage: Bacteria
Description: partial 16S ribosomal RNA
Rfam family: Bacterial small subunit ribosomal RNA
Source: RNAcentral
UAGUCCGCACGAGCGCACCCUUGUCCUUAGUUGCCAGCGGGUAGAUGCCGGGGACUCUAGGGAGACUGCCGGUGACAAACCGGAGGAAGGUGGGGAUGACGUCAAGUCAUCAUGGCCCUUAUGGCCGGGGCUACACACGUGCUACAAUGGCCGGUACAAAGGGUUGCAAACCCGCAAGGGGGAGCCAAUCCCAAAAAACCGGUCUUAGUCCGGAUUGAAGUCUGCAACUCGACUCCUUGAAGUAGGAAUCGCUAGUAAUCGCGAAUCACCAUGCCGCGGUGAAUACGUUCCCGGGCCUU